GACAGAGGUGCCGAGCGUUAGGCGGAAUCACUGGGCUUAAAGCGUGUGUAGGCGGGCCGUUAAGUACCCGAGUGAAAUCCCACCGCUCAACGGUGGAACGGCCGGGUAUACUGGCGGUCUUGGGCCACCCAGGGGUCACCGGAACAGGCGGUGGAGCGGUGAAAUGCGUAGAUAUCGCCUGGAACGCCGGCGGCGAAAGCGGGUGACUGGGGGUGUGCCGACGCUGAGACACGAAAGCCAGGGGAGCGAACGGG
RNAcentral lists this ribosomal RNA (254 nucleotides) under uncultured bacterium. RNAcentral's name for it is "partial 16S ribosomal RNA". It matches the Rfam family "Bacterial small subunit ribosomal RNA", at positions 524 to 776 of the family's 1533-position model. The record is from RNAcentral.